AUCGAACGCUGGCGGCAGGCUUAACACAUGCAAGUCGAGCGGGGGAAGGUAGCUUGCUACCGGACCUAGCGGCGGACGGGUGAGUAAUGCUUAGGAAUCUGCCUAUUAGUGGGGGACAACAUCUCGAAAGGGAUGCUACUACCGCAUACGUCCUACGGGAGAAAGCAGGGGAUCUUUGGACCUUGCGCCAAUAGAUGAGCCUACGUCGGAUGAGCUAGUUGGUGGGGUAAAGGCCUACCAAGGCGACGAUCUGUAGCGGGUCUGAGAGGAUGCUCCGCCACACUCGGGCUGAGACACGGCCCAGACUCCUACGGGAGGCAGCAGUGGGGAAUAUUGGACAAAGGGGGGAACCCUGAUCCAGCCAUGCCGCGUGUGUGAAGACGGCCUUAUGGUUGUAAAGCACUUUAAGCGAGGAGGAGGCUACUUUAGUUAAUACCUAGAGAUAGUGGACGUUACUCGCAGAAUAAGCACCGGCUAACUCUGUGCCAGCAGCCGCAGUAA
This 501-nucleotide ribosomal RNA is filed under the name uncultured bacterium. RNAcentral describes it as "partial 16S ribosomal RNA". It matches the Rfam family "Bacterial small subunit ribosomal RNA", at positions 30 to 523 of the family's 1533-position model. The record is from RNAcentral.